GGGGAGGUGCCGUGCGGGUCGGUCAGCGCGUCCCCUCCCCGCUGCCGGCGGCCCGGGCCGAGCUCCGAGCCCCCGGCCGCCGCCAUCGGGAAGCCGGGCCGCGCCGCCGCGGCCAUGGCGACGGACGUGAUGCCCACCUGUGUUUGCUGUUCUGUGCUGUCUUUCAAAACUGUGCCCUCAAGGGGAGGUGACCUUUGACAAGGCCCGGACUGACACGAUGUGGACGCGGCCUUUGGAGGACUCCUCCUGUGAACAUUCUUCUGCAGCCAUUGGGUUUUUGCCUGCGGAAUCUUCGUUAUCCUUCUUCCAGUCCUCCUUCUCUCCAUCAACAGGAAGCUCUACUUUGAAAAGAGAGGUGGGCUCUCAUGUCUGGAACGAGAAGGGA
This is a long non-coding RNA of Gallus gallus (chicken), 385 nucleotides long. RefSeq lists it as uncharacterized. The transcript is spliced from 3 exons. The record is from RefSeq and is a predicted model, not a curated record. Lineage: Eukaryota; Metazoa; Chordata; Aves; Galliformes; Phasianidae.